RNAcentral lists this ribosomal RNA (338 nucleotides) under Buchnera aphidicola. RNAcentral's name for it is "partial 23S ribosomal RNA". It matches the Rfam family "Bacterial large subunit ribosomal RNA", at positions 1953 to 2290 of the family's 2925-position model. Lineage: Bacteria; Pseudomonadati; Pseudomonadota; Gammaproteobacteria; Enterobacterales; Erwiniaceae. The record is from RNAcentral.
AAGGUAGCGAAAUUCCUUGUCGGGUAAGUUCCGACCUGCACGAAUGGCGUAAUGAUGGCCACGCUGUCUCCACCCGAGACUCAGUGAAAUUGAAAUCGCAGUGAAGAUGCUGUGUACCCGCGGCUAGACGGAAAGACCCCGUGAACCUUUACUACAGCUUGGCACUGAACAUUGAGCCUACAUGUGUAGGAUAGGUGGGAGGCUUUGAAACGGCGACGCCAGUUGUCGUGGAGCCAUCCUUGAAAUACCACCCUUGUAUGUUUGAUGUUCUAACUUAGCCCCCUAAUCGGGGGUGAGGACAGUGCCUGGUGGGUAGUUUGACUGGGGCGGUCUCCUCC